Molecule: ribosomal RNA, 497 nt
Filed under: uncultured bacterium
Lineage: Bacteria
Description: partial 16S ribosomal RNA
Rfam family: Bacterial small subunit ribosomal RNA
Source: RNAcentral
GAUGAACGCUGGCGGCGUGCCUAAUACAUGCAAGUCGAGCGAACAGACGAGGAGCUUGCUCCUCUGACGUUAGCGGCGGACGGGUGAGUAACACGUGGAUAACCUACCUAUAAGACUGGGAUAACUUCGUGAAACCGGAGCUAAUACCGGAUAAUAUAUUGAACCGCAUGGUUCAAUAGUGAAAGACGGUUUUGCUGUCAGUGAAAGAUGGAUCCGCGCCGCAUAAGCUAGUUGGUAAGGUAAGGGCUUACCAAGGCGACGAUGCGUAGCCGACCUGAGAGGGUGAUCGGCCACACUGGAACUGAGACACGGUCCAGACUCCUACGGGAGGCAGCAGUAGGGAAUCUUCCGCAAUGGGCGAAAGCCGGACGGAGCAAAGCCGCGUGAGUGAUGAAGGUCUUCGGAUCGUAAAACUCUGUUAUUAGGGAGGAACAAAAGUGUAAGUAACUAUGCACGUCUUGACGGUACCUAAUCAGAAAGCCACGGCUAACUACGUG